GAACCUGCGGAAGGAUCAUUAACGAAUUUGGUGGGCUGUCGCUGGCUAGGUGAUUCUAGCAUGUGCA
Molecule: ribosomal RNA, 67 nt
Filed under: Leccinum duriusculum
Lineage: Eukaryota; Fungi; Basidiomycota; Agaricomycetes; Boletales; Boletaceae
Description: partial 18S ribosomal RNA
Source: RNAcentral